Molecule: ribosomal RNA, 480 nt
Filed under: uncultured Sphingobacteriales bacterium
Lineage: Bacteria; Pseudomonadati; Bacteroidota; Sphingobacteriia; Sphingobacteriales
Description: bacterial SSU rRNA
Rfam family: Bacterial small subunit ribosomal RNA
Source: RNAcentral
AACUCAAAUGAAUUGACGGGGCCCGCACAAGCGAGGAACAUGUGGUUUAAUUCGAUGAUACGCGAGGAACCUUACCUGGGCUUAAAUGGGGAGUGACAGCUGUCGAAAGAUGGUUUUCUUCGGACACUCUUCAAGGUGCUGCAUGGUUGUCGUCAGCUCGUGCCGUGAGGUGUCGGGUUAAGUCCCAUAACGAGCGCAACCCUUACCGUUAGUUACCAUCAGGUUAAGCUGGGGACUCUAGCGGGACUGCCACCGUAAGGUGAGAGGAAGGUGGGGAUGACGUCAAAUCAGCACGGCCCUUAUGUCCAGGGCUACACACGUGUUACAAUGGCCGGUACAAAGGGCAGCUACUUCGCGAGAAGAUGCUAAUCUCGAAAGCCGGUCUCAGUUCGGAUCGAAGUCUGCAACCCGACUUCGUGAAGCUGGAUUCGCUAGUAAUCGCGCAUCAGCCACGGCGCGGUGAAUACGUUCCCGGGCCUU